This 253-nucleotide ribosomal RNA is filed under the name uncultured bacterium. RNAcentral's name for it is "partial 16S ribosomal RNA". It matches the Rfam family "Bacterial small subunit ribosomal RNA", at positions 524 to 776 of the family's 1533-position model. The record is from RNAcentral.
AACGUAGGUGGCAAGCGUUAUCCGGAUUUACUGGGCGUAAAGGGUGUGCAGGCGGGGCUGUAAGGGGUGUAUGAAAUCUCCAGGCUUAACCUGGAGGGGUUAUGCCAGACUGCAGUUCUAGAGGGCGAGAGAGGGGGGUGGAAUUCCUGGUGUAGCGGUGAAAUGCGCAGAUAUCAGGAAGAACACCCGUGGCGAAGGCGGCUCUCUGGGACGGUACUGACGCUGAGACGCGAAAGCGUGGGGAGCGAACAGG